Etheostoma spectabile (orangethroat darter) is the source of this 164-nucleotide long non-coding RNA. RefSeq lists it as uncharacterized. NCBI's taxonomy places the organism in Eukaryota, Metazoa, Chordata, Actinopteri, Perciformes, Percidae. The transcript is spliced from 3 exons. The record is from RefSeq and is a predicted model, not a curated record.
UCUGCAGCGUUGCCAAAACGAACCCAAUGACUUUGCUCGCAUCUUUCUCCGCCGCCAUUAGUACGGAACUCACCGAAGGUUACCGAACCUCAACAUCAUCGUUCUCAGCCACUCCCUCUGUUUGGUGAUUGGACCGCCAAAAAUUUGACUGUAGAAGAACCCAA